RNAcentral lists this long non-coding RNA (237 nucleotides) under Nicotiana benthamiana. Its description in RNAcentral is "long non-coding RNA (NBEN_LNC004813)". Lineage: Eukaryota; Viridiplantae; Streptophyta; Magnoliopsida; Solanales; Solanaceae. The record is from RNAcentral.
AAAGAUUAUUCAAAGAAAAGCUAAUUCUCUUUUAACAAUUUAAGAAAAUAAAUUUUAGAUCUUUUUAGGAAUUUAUUUACUAAUUCGAUUUGAUUUAAGCAAUACAAGCUGUCAAUAAGAUGGCAAAUUUCAAGUAUAGCAUGCUUUUGGGUCCUAGACUACACGGGCAAUAGCAUAAUAGUAGCUACGCACGAACUCUCGUCACUUCGUGCGUACGUAGCCCCCACAAUUAGGAGC